UGGGGAAUAUUGCACAAUGGGCGCAAGCCUGAUGCAGCCAUGCCGCGUGUAUGAAGAAGGCCUUCGGGUUGUAAAGUACUUUCAGAGGGGAGGAAGGCGAUGUGGUUAAUAACCGCGUCGAUUGACGUUACCCGCAGAAGAAGCACCGGCUAACUCCGUGCCAGCAGCCGCGGUAAUACGGAGGGUGCAAGCGUUAAUCGGAAUUACUGGGCGUAAAGCGCACGCAGGCGGUCUGUCAAGUCGGAUGUGAAAUCCCCGGGCUCAACCUGGGAACUGCAUUCGAAACUGGCAGGCUAGAGUCUUGUAGAGGAGGGUAGAAUUCCAGGUGUAGCGGUGAAAUGCGUAGAGAUCUGGAGGAAUACCGGUGGCGAAGGCGGCCCCCUGGACAAAGACUGACGCUCAGGUGCGAAAGCGUGGGGAGCAAACA
RNAcentral lists this ribosomal RNA (427 nucleotides) under uncultured bacterium. RNAcentral's name for it is "partial 16S ribosomal RNA". It matches the Rfam family "Bacterial small subunit ribosomal RNA", at positions 355 to 774 of the family's 1533-position model. The record is from RNAcentral.